GAUCAUGGCUCAGGAUGAACGCUGGCUGCAUGCCUAAUACAUGCAAGUCGAACGAGAGGAAGGAAAGCUUGCUUUUCUGAAUCUAGUGGCGAACGGGUGAGUAACACGUAGGUAACCUGCCCAUGUGCCCGGGAUAACUUCUGGAGACGGAUGCUAAAACCGGAUAGGUAGCAGACAAGCAUUUGACUGCUAUUAAAGUGGCCUUGGCCAUGAACAUGGAUGGACCUGCGG
Molecule: ribosomal RNA, 231 nt
Filed under: uncultured bacterium
Lineage: Bacteria
Description: partial 16S ribosomal RNA
Rfam family: Bacterial small subunit ribosomal RNA
Source: RNAcentral